Molecule: long non-coding RNA, 255 nt
Organism: Sapajus apella (tufted capuchin)
Lineage: Eukaryota; Metazoa; Chordata; Mammalia; Primates; Cebidae
Exons: 3
Source: RefSeq, a predicted model, not a curated record
AAGGCCACCAGGAGACACAGUGAGGAAAGGAUAGCCUCUUCAACAAAUAGUGUUGGGAAAACUGGACAUCCAUAUGCAAAAGAAUGAAAUUAGACCCUUAUCAUUGUCUUGCACCAUUUACAAACAUCACCUCAACAUCGAUUAAAGACUUAAAUGUAAGACCUAAAACUAUAACGCUCCUAGAGGAAAGCAUAGGGGAAAGCUUCAUGACACUGGUCUUGGCAAUGACUUCAUGGAUACAACACCAAAAGUGUG